UAGGUGGCAUGCAACCUGAGGACAGAUU
This 28-nucleotide non-coding RNA is filed under the name Mus musculus (house mouse). Lineage: Eukaryota; Metazoa; Chordata; Mammalia; Rodentia; Muridae. The record is from RNAcentral.